RNAcentral lists this unclassified non-coding RNA (353 nucleotides) under Tomentella sp. RNAcentral's name for it is "partial contains 5.8S ribosomal RNA, internal transcribed spacer 2, and large subunit ribosomal RNA". The stretch from base 297 to 353 matches the Rfam family "Eukaryotic large subunit ribosomal RNA", at positions 1 to 57 of the family's 3401-position model. The record is from RNAcentral. Lineage: Eukaryota; Fungi; Basidiomycota; Agaricomycetes; Thelephorales; Thelephoraceae.
GUGAGUCAUCGAAUCUUUGAACGCACCUUGCGCUCUUUGGCUAUUCCGAAGAGCAUGCCUGUUUGAGUAUCAUGAACACCUCAACUCUCAUGGCUUGCCAUGAUGAGCUUGGACUCUGGGGGCCUUGCUGGCCUAUGGUCUGCUCCCCUCAAAUGCAUUAGCUUGCCAGUGUUUGGCGGCAUCGCAGGUGUGAUAACUAUCUACGCUUGCCAUUGCCUGCCAUAUAACCCCCGGCCACGGAGGUUCGCUGGAGCUCAUAAACGUCUCUCCUCAGCGAGGACAACUUUGUGAACGUUUGAUCUCAAAUCAGGUAGGACUACCCGCUGAACUUAAGCAUAUCAAUAAGCGGAGGA